RNAcentral lists this ribosomal RNA (458 nucleotides) under uncultured bacterium. Its description in RNAcentral is "bacterial SSU rRNA". It matches the Rfam family "Bacterial small subunit ribosomal RNA", at positions 339 to 797 of the family's 1533-position model. The record is from RNAcentral.
AUACGGGAGGCAGCAGUGGGGAAUCUUGCGCAAUGGCCGAAAGGCUGACGCAGCGACGCCGCGUGUGGGAGGAAGCUCUUCGGGGUGUAAACCACUGUUGCCCGGGACGAACGAGCAGCUUUUGCUGCUGUGACGGUACCGGGUGAGGAAGCACCGGCUAACUCUGUGCCAGCAGCCGCGGUAAUACAGAGGGUGCGAGCGUUGUCCGGAAUCACUGGGCGUAAAGGGCGCGUAGGCGGCUUGAUAAGCGUGCGGUGAAAGCCCGGGGCUCAACCCCGGGUCGGCCGUGCGAACUGUCGAGCUGGAGCACUGUAGAGGCAGGUGGAAUUCCGGGUGUAGCGGUGGAAUGCGUAGAGAUCCGGAAGAACACCGGUGGCGAAGGCGGCCUGCUGGGCAGUGGCUGACGCUGAGGCGCGACAGCGUGGGGAGCAAACAGGAUUAGAUACCCCGGUAGUCCC